AAGAGAAGCUUGCUUCUCUUGAGAGCGGCGGACGGGUGAGUAAUGCCUAGGAAUCUGCCUGGUAGUGGGGGAUAACGUUCGGAAACGGACGCUAAUACCGCAUACGUCCUACGGGAGAAAGCAGGGGACCUUCGGGCCUUGCGCUAUCAGAUGAGCCUAGGUCGGAUUAGCUAGUUGGUGAGGUAAUGGCUCACCAAGGCGACGAUCCGUAACUGGUCUGAGAGGAUGAUCAGUCACACUGGAACUGAGACACGGUCCAGACUCCUACGGGAGGCAGCAGUGGGGAAUAUUGGACAAUGGGCGAAAGCCUGAUCCAGCCAUGCCGCGUGUGUGAAGAAGGUCUUCGGAUUGUAAAGCACUUUAAGUUGGGAGGAAGGGCAGUUACCUAAUACGUGAUUGUUUUGACGUUACCGACAGAAUAAGCACCGGCUAACUCUGUGCCAGCAGCCGCGGUAAUACAGAGGGUGCAAGCGUUAAUCGGAAUUACUGGGCGUAAAGCGCGCGUAGGUGGUUUGUUAAGUUGGAUGUGAAAUCCCCGGGCUCAACCUGGGAACUGCAUUCAAAACUGACUGACUAGAGUAUGGUAGAGGGUGGUGGAAUUUCCUGUGUAGCGGUGAAAUGCGUAGAUAUAGGAAGGAACACCAGUGGCGAAGGCGACCACCUGGACUAAUACUGACACUGAGGUGCGAAAGCGUGGGAGCAAACAGGAUUAGAUACCCUGGUAGUCCACGCCGUAAACGAUGUCAACUAGCCGUUGGAAGCCUUGAGCUUUUAGUGGCGCAGCUAACGCAUUAAGUUGACCGCCUGGGGAGUACGGCCGCAAGGUUAAAACUCAAAUGAAUUGACGGGGGCCCGCACAAGCGGUGGAGCAUGUGGUUUAAUUC
RNAcentral lists this ribosomal RNA (884 nucleotides) under Pseudomonas trivialis. RNAcentral's name for it is "bacterial SSU rRNA". It matches the Rfam family "Bacterial small subunit ribosomal RNA", at positions 71 to 952 of the family's 1533-position model. The record is from RNAcentral. Lineage: Bacteria; Pseudomonadati; Pseudomonadota; Gammaproteobacteria; Pseudomonadales; Pseudomonadaceae.